CUCGUAGGUGGUUUGUCGCGUUUGUUCGUGAAAACUCACAGCUUAACUGUGGGCGUGCGGGCGAUACGGGCAGACUAGAGUACUGCAGGGGAGACUGGAAUUCCUGGUGUAGCGGUGGAAUGCGCAGAUAUCAGGAGGAACACCGGUGGCGAAGGCGGGUCUCUGGGCAGUAACUGACGCUGAGGAGCGAAAGCGUGGGGAGCGAACA
RNAcentral lists this ribosomal RNA (208 nucleotides) under uncultured bacterium. Its description in RNAcentral is "partial 16S ribosomal RNA". It matches the Rfam family "Bacterial small subunit ribosomal RNA", at positions 568 to 774 of the family's 1533-position model. The record is from RNAcentral.